This is a long non-coding RNA of Folsomia candida, 376 nucleotides long. RefSeq lists it as uncharacterized. Lineage: Eukaryota; Metazoa; Arthropoda; Collembola; Entomobryomorpha; Isotomidae. The record is from RefSeq and is a predicted model, not a curated record. The transcript has 2 exons.
GAAACAUAUAAAAUGCGAGAAUUCUCACGAAUUGGUCAUCAUUCAAUCUCAUCUCCUCAGAAAAUAUCAUCUCUUCAAAAACAAACAAAAACAUAACUUCGCCAUGUUCCGAUUCGUCCUUGUCGUUCUCGCCCUCAUCGCCGUGGCGUCCGCCCAGCUUUUGUACACUUCCGGUGUGAGCGGCCCCAACUUCCACAACGCUUUCGCCUCCUCCGCCUCCACCGGAAUUCGACGAUACGGAUCCACCGCUGGAUUGGCCUACGCCGCUCCAGCUUACGCCGCUGUCCCAGCCUACUAUUAAAAUUUUGAAGUUGUUAUAUUUCCAAAUUUUUUUUACCAUCUUCUCAAUAAAACUGUGGUCUGAUCUGAAUCGUUA